GACGAACGCUGGCGGCGUGCUUAACACAUGCAAGUCGAGCGGUAAGGCCCUUUCGGGGGUACACGAGCGGCGAACGGGUGAGUAACACGUGGGUGACCUGCCUUUAGCUCUGGGAUAAGCCUGGGAAACCGGGUCUAAUACCGGAUAUGACUCCGCGGCGCAUGUUGUGGGGUGGAAAGCCUUGUGCGGCUGAGGAUGGGCCCGCGGCCUAUCAGCUUGUUGGUGGGGUGAUGGCCUACCAAGGCGACGACGGGUAGCCGGCCUGAGAGGGCGACCGGCCACACUGGGACUGAGAUACGGCCCAGACUCCUACGGGAGGCAGCAGUGGGGAAUCUUGCGCAAUGGGCGAAAGCCUGACGCAGCGACGCCGCGUGAGGGAUGACGGCCUCGG
Molecule: ribosomal RNA, 391 nt
Filed under: uncultured bacterium
Lineage: Bacteria
Description: bacterial SSU rRNA
Rfam family: Bacterial small subunit ribosomal RNA
Source: RNAcentral